ACAAAGGUGUUGAGUAACUGAAAAGAUUAGGAUAGUGACUCCAACUAAAUCUUAAACUGCCUUCUGCUUCCAGUGAUACUGUGAGUGAAGUACGUGUCAUACUGUGUUUGUGCAUCUCAGGUUUCCUGGCACUCCAUCUCAUCUCUUUCAAGCAAUCAAACUAUGAGAAAACAAAGAAGACAGAAGUCACCAUACAGCAGAGGCCUGAAGCAACCAUCUAGUUUAGCUACCUUAGAACAUUAGAAAGACUUUAGAUUUUAAAGGGAAGAUAUAUUGGCUGGAGGAGAAAUAUGUACCAGCAGGUAAGCUAGAGGGCUACAGGAGAAGACCAUGCUGAAGAGGGGUAUGGAGCUUACAAGAAGAGACGUACAGAAGACGAACUCAGCCCUUGUAAGGAGAGCAGGAUGUGAGGCUUCCCGGACUCUAAGAUCAGAG
RNAcentral lists this long non-coding RNA (435 nucleotides) under Struthio camelus australis. Its description in RNAcentral is "lncRNA (ENSSCUG00000018781.1)". The record is from RNAcentral. Lineage: Eukaryota; Metazoa; Chordata; Aves; Struthioniformes; Struthionidae.